UGAACGCUGGCGGCAGGCCUAACACAUGCAAGUCGAGCGGCAGCGACAACAGUUGACUUCGGGYGAUUUGUUGGGCGGCGAGCGGCGGACGGGUGAGUAAUGCUUGGGAACAUGCCUUAGUGUGGGGGAUAACCAUUGGAAACGAUGGCUAAUACCGCAUAAUGUCUUCGGACCAAAGCGGGGGACUUCGGGCCUCGCGCGCUAAGAUUGGCCCAGGUGGGAUUAGCUAGUAGGUGGGGUAACGGCUCACCUAGGCGACGAUCCCUAGCUGGUCUGAGAGGAUGAUCAGCCACACUGGAACUGAGACACGGUCCAGACUCUACGGGAGGCAGCAGUGGGGAAUAUUGCACAAUGGGGGACACCCUGAUGCAGCCAUGCCGCGUGUGUGAAGAAGGCUUCGGGUUGUAAAGCACUUUCAGCAGUGAGGAAGGGAUGUGUGUUAAUAGCRCGCAUUCUUGACGUUAGCUGCAGAAGAAGCACCGGCUAACUCCGUGCCAGCAGCCGCGGUAAUACGGAGGGUGCGAGCGUUAAUCGGAAUUACUGGGCGUAAAGCGCAUGCAGGCGGCGUGUUAAGACCAGAUGUGAAAGCC
This 590-nucleotide ribosomal RNA is filed under the name gamma proteobacterium GWS-SE-H303. RNAcentral's name for it is "bacterial SSU rRNA". It matches the Rfam family "Bacterial small subunit ribosomal RNA", at positions 30 to 602 of the family's 1533-position model. Lineage: Bacteria; Pseudomonadati; Pseudomonadota; Gammaproteobacteria. The record is from RNAcentral.